Staphylococcus sp. HGB0015 is the source of this 115-nucleotide ribosomal RNA. Lineage: Bacteria; Bacillati; Bacillota; Bacilli; Caryophanales; Staphylococcaceae. The record is from Rfam.
UCUGGUGCCAAUGGCAAAGAGGUCACACCUGUUCCCAUGCCGAACACAGAAGUUAAGCUCUUUAGCGCCGAUGGUAGUCGGACUGACGUUACGCGAGAGUAGGACGGUGCCAGGU